This is a non-coding RNA of Microcebus murinus (gray mouse lemur), 1038 nucleotides long. NCBI's taxonomy places the organism in Eukaryota, Metazoa, Chordata, Mammalia, Primates, Cheirogaleidae. The record is from RefSeq and is a predicted model, not a curated record.
UGCCGGCAGACCCUCAAAUCCAGCUUGAUUUAAAUGAGUCAUAAGAAUGAGAAUUUUGAGUGUCAGGAAUUCUGUUACAGCAACACAGAACAAAGACACAUGGUACACUUGAGACUUGGCAAUUUAUCAAGAAAAGAGGCUUAUUUGGCUCACUAUUCUGUUGUCUGGAAAAUUCAACAUUGGUCACCUGCAUCUGGUGAGAGCCUUAGGCUGCUUCAACUCAUGGCAGAAAGCAGAAGGGAAGUAGGUGUGUGCUCAGAGAUCACAUGGAGAGAGAGGAAACAAGAGAAGAAACCCAGGAAGCCAGACUCUUUUUAACUGCUCUCUUGGUAACUAAUUCAUUCCCAGGAGAGGAAGACAUCACGCAUCCCUGCGAGAGAGCAAUAAUCUAUUCAUGAGGCAUCUGCCCCAUAACUCAGACACCUCCCACAAGGCCCCACCUCCCAACACUGCCACGCUGGGAUCAAAUUUCAACAUGCGUUUUGGCAGGUACACACCACAUCAUAGCACCAUGUGUUUGAAUCCAAGCAUAGUCCUGAAACUGUGUCCAAAAGUGAGGUGUGUAAGAAUGCGAAUAGUUGACUGUAGGUCUGACUCCUAGUUUCCUGUUUCAGUUCUGCUUUGUCACUUAUCAGACUGCAACUGUUCUGCUGCAUGGACCAAACCAGGAGGAAGACAUUAGGGUUGGUUCAGUGAUAAUUAGAACUUGGUGUCCCUGCUGUGCCCUGAAAAGUAGAAACUGUGUGGGAAGCAGCUUUGGUGCUACGUAAACUCAGUGGGAGAGGAUGAUGUUCAAUGAGCUUCAAAGAUACGGCAUCUUACAAUAGCAUUUGGGAUCCUCCACGGCCGUCUCCCUCAGAAUCAAAGUCCCCACCCGUCUGAAUCCCUGUGUUUGGGAGUUGCGAAGUGUCCAGCUUAAAGUCUGUUGCCUCAGACAGGGGUAAACAAUUCGAUGUGAAAUGGGACUUUCAGGAAAGUGCUUGAAAGAAAGCUGAUUGUUCUUCCUUCUUCUUGCCUGGAGGGCUGAUGUGAUAGACA